GAGAGCAAGACUUAUGUAGUAUUCAGAACAGUGAUUUCACUGUUUCCUUACUUUAUCCUUCUGAUUUUACUCGCUCUUUCAUUUUCCGCAUGCUUUGACACCCAACAUUCUGAUUUCUUUGCCAUUUUCCUCUUCCUCUUCAUACUUUUGUUCUUUCGCCACUUUCUACUGCAAUUGUGUCGCCAUUUGUACUGGUUUUUGCCAUUUUAUUCUUUUCUCUCUCAUUUUCUGGAAAUCAAGCAUCAGACAAUGAGGUUCCUGACCGGGAGUUUCUUUUGCGGAUGUCCUAUUUGGCGAUUUAUAUUGAAGAGAUAAAUGACCUGUUGGUUCCUGAACACAGAAGACUACAGAUUCAUGAAAUAACUUUGAUUUCUUUUUUACUGGUUUAAUGUUUGCAUUAAAUUUUAUAUUUGAGUAUAUUAGAUGACUUGAAGCCUGAAGGUAAAUAUUAUUUGGCAGUGGGGAAUAUAUGUAGCUGGUUUGUGUGACGGAAUUGUUGCCUCACUCGAUCAGGUCCUUGAUCUCAUGGAAUUCGGAGAAUAUCUCUUGAGCUUGGCUUGGUUGUUGUUUACUCAUUUUGAGGUUGAAUUUAUACUUUUAUAUGAAUUUUUGCUUAAUUUUUAUAUCAUUUUUAUAUUAAAAUGUUGGGCAAGAUUAUUUUUUCUUUUCAAAAGUUGUUCUUUAAUGGAGUUGAAUAUCUUGUCUCUUCAAUGAUUUUAGAAUUAUUUUAAUUUCAGCAAUAAUAAAUACUUAUAUUUCGUGGGCUAACAAAAAAUUAGCGAUUUUGGUACUCGAAUGUUAAGUUGAUUCAUAGGAGUACUUCUUUGUCCCAUUAAAAUUUCAACAUUACGCAAAUCUAUAUGAGAGCUUUUGAGGAAAAUGUUACGGACUGAGGAAGUGAUUCAUAUAUUUAAAGACAAUUGAAUUACUGAAUCCCCAAAUUUUAAGAAUAUUUCCUGUCAAAUAAAUGGGUACAGAUCUUUGUUUUAGUAUCUGGGUGUUUAUCUUUAAUGUCUUGUCUCAUUUGAGCUUUCCUUUUUGUUGUCGGUUAUGAAUUGUCGCUGCUUUGGAAUCCCAUUUUCUAAAAAAAAAGGAGUCCUUCCCUGCCUACCAGAGAAAUUGAGGCUACAUUUUCCUUGCUGUUGGAAUGAUUGCGGGGCAGUGAGCAAUUUAAUGUUAUGACUACUACUCUUGUCAUGAAAAGUCUUCAAGAUGACAUCAAGCUUCAAAUUAAUUGGACUAUAUGUUUAAGUUAAUCCCGAGACCUUUGAACAUUCAGUUCAGCACAGCGAUGAACCAUGUGAGGACAAUGAAGAAAAGAGUUGUAACAAGUCCCUCAUCAUCAAGCUUGUAGCAGCCCCUCAACAUGCCCAUAGAAGCAGCGACAUCAGCACACGACAACAACAAAACACCAGUGGCAGCAGCACACCACAGUAGUAGACAACAACAAAACAGCAGUACCAAUCCAUCUUGGCCAUGUUGUUUGGCAACAGUAGCAGACUAGCAGUGACAACAACCCUUAACUUGCUCUAAUAGCAAAUAGGCAAUGUUAAGCUAUAUAUAAUUUAUUCAUUGCAUAUUGUACUUGCACUAAUAGUAACUUACUCCAAUAUGUAUUAUCUUUGAUUUUCAUGAUUUCUCUUAAUCUCUAUAUAAAUUUAAGUUUUCA
This is a long non-coding RNA of Amaranthus tricolor (Joseph's coat), 1669 nucleotides long. RefSeq lists it as uncharacterized. The transcript has 6 exons. The record is from RefSeq and is a predicted model, not a curated record. NCBI's taxonomy places the organism in Eukaryota, Viridiplantae, Streptophyta, Magnoliopsida, Caryophyllales, Amaranthaceae.